GGGUCAGUAGGUUGGUCGUGCCACCGGUACGUACUGGUCUCACCGAUUCCUCCUUCCUGAAGAACCGUAAUGCCAUUAAUUCGGUGUUGCGGGGAAACAGGACUGUUACUUUGAAAAAAUUAGAGUGUUUAAAGCAAGCUAACGCUUGAAUACAUUAGCAUGGAAUAAUGAAAUAGGACGAUCGAUCCUAUUUUGUUGGUUUCUAGGAUUGACGUA
RNAcentral lists this ribosomal RNA (216 nucleotides) under Glomeromycotina sp. RNAcentral's name for it is "partial small subunit ribosomal RNA". The stretch from base 87 to 216 matches the Rfam family "Eukaryotic small subunit ribosomal RNA", at positions 733 to 864 of the family's 1831-position model. Lineage: Eukaryota; Fungi; Glomeromycota. The record is from RNAcentral.